AAAAAGAAGAAGAACGCUGAGGGAAAGCUAAAAAGCUACGCAGCUUUUGAAAGAGACCCCCACCCCUUCGGAUCGUCUUCUCCAAACGACCCUAGCUCUCUUCUACUAGAACAAAAACGAUCCCUCUCGUUCUACUUCCUUUUCAGGUUCUAAACACAUAAAACCCAUCAGCCAUCGAUCCCAAACACCCAUCAAAACCAAACCUAACGCCUAAGAUGAUUUUCUGCACCGAUUGAAGUUCCGUCCGUUCGAGGUUGCGAAUCCAGUCCGAGUUCGAAAUUUCAUUGUUUGGAACUUCAUUAUGACUGUGUAAUUGCCGAAUUUCAGUUGAAUGAAGCUUUAAUUUUAGAUGCUCUGAAUUGCCGAUUCAUUUGCUCGGCCAGUCGAUUGUUAACCUUGCAAGAUCGAACUCCAAGCAUCUCAGGUCUCUCUUUUCUCUCUCGUAUAUCAAUAUACUUACUGGUACUUCUUCCUUUCUCCCCGCUGCCCGGAUUUCUGCAACUUUUUAUUCUUGUUGGGUUAAUCUCUUGUCGAGAUUUUUGUUGUUCUUGAGAGUGUAACUACAAAUGGCUAUUGUUGGGUGAUUAUUGAAUCCCAAUUUGAUGGUUAAAUUUUGGCUAAGGUAUAGAAUUAUGGGGACUUAGAGAAACGAAGCUUCAGUUAUGUACAUAAGGUGCUUGUGGAAAUGACUGACCGAAUUCAGUCAACAUGGAUUCUUUGAGCUUGAUUUUUUGCGUAAUAUGUGGUGUUUUGAAGCUUAAUUCUUGUUGAUUUCUCACUGUUAAGGUACUGUAAUUGAGGUCGGGCUUUGAGUUUGUGUUGAUCCGCUGUUAUUUUUGAGACUAACAAAUGAAACUCGGAUUGGUUCAAUAAUGCUCAAAUUGAUUUCUUUGUUCGUGUAGUUAACAGACAAUGAUAACUAUGCCUAGAAUGAACCCGUUUGGUGGAUUGUUGAAUAUUUAGUUGAUUAUUUUCAUUUGGUUAUGCGAAAAGUUGUAAAUGGAUAGUUUAUUAUUAGUGAUUAAUCUGGGGUAAACAUACUUUAAUAUGACACUGUUAGGCCAAGGCUUUGAAGUCCAUUUGGACGUAUUUUCGUGAACAUUUUCGGAAGUUUAGAAGUGUGGUACAUCUUAGUUUUAAUUGUAACUUAAUUAUCUUGGUACUUAAAUCUUUUUAAAGUAAUAACGGAGAUUCAUCCAUUAACCAUAUAUUCACUAAUAAUGAUUAGAAAUUGAAUUCUUGAAUGUACAACGUGAAGAUUCCGAGUUUACCGCAUAGUCGUUUUUAGUCUGAAGAGCUAAUUUCAAGAACAUUCUAUGUUUAAUAUUUCUUUGCCAUAUUAUUUGAUUUGCAUUUUAGACCCAAAUUUUAAUGGCUUGGCUUAGGAAACAGAUUUUUUUUCCUUCUAAAUUUACUUUCAUUGAAGUUCAAUUUUCAACUGAUUGUAAAUUUGAAUAGUGUAUUUCUAAUUGUUAUCCCGUUCAGCAAAUGCUGCAAUAGAUUGCUUCAAGCCAUUAGUAGUGGUAAAAUUUCCUAGAGUUAUUGUGGCAUCUCAUGAUGUAUGCUUAUUUUAAUAAUUAUGGAUUCAUUCUUAUAAGUUACAUAACUUCCCUAUUUCAUAACGUGGCCAAAUAAUCUUAAAAAAUGAACGUCCUAGUUUGCUUUAGGCGCGUUAAUUAUAUAGUUAUCAUGGUUAUUACUAAAACCUGGGGGUACAUUUCAUGUGGCCCGGUUCUAAUUUCCAACAAGGUUAAAUAGAACGUGUCGUGAACCACGGGUGCAUUUAAUGUGGCAUGGCUUUCAAUAUGUUUUAAAUAAUCUUGAAUUAAUUCUCUAAAUAAGUAAAAGCGGUUUUCAAAGGUUAAAAUGCACAUAGGUUCAAAAGUGCAGUAAAUCAAUAUAAUUAGGCCAAAUAUAACAGUUAAGCGACUGUGCUAGAACCACAGAAUCUGGGAAUGCCUAACACCUUCUCCCGGGUUAACAGAAUUCCUUACUCGGAUUUCUAGUUCACGGACUGUAAUACAGAGUUAACAUUUUCCUCGAUUCGGGAUUUUGAACCGGUGACUUGGGACACCAUAAAUAUCCCAAGUGGCGACUCUGAAUUCUUUUAAUAAAUAAAUUCCGUUUUGUUUGUCACUUAAAUUGAAAAAACCUCCCUUAUACACCCUUCCGGGGGUGUAGGUAAAAAGGAGGUGUGACAUAUGGUGUUAUUUCAGUGAUUUGGCUUGAAAUUAAUGGAAAUUAAGGGUUAAUAUUGGGAAUCAGGGCUUGGUAUUGGAGACCUUGACUUGAGGAUUUGAGGGGUCAUUUGUGGGCGGAUUUUGGUACUUUUGAUAUGAAUGAACUCGGGGGAGAAUAAAGAUUCCAUUGAUGUAGAUUUUGUCGGUUUCCUAGAUAUGGGCCUGGGGGUCGGGUUUGGUCAAUUUCGGGAUUUGUGUUGUAAUUUGAUUAUUUUCGCAUGGGUUUCGUUCCCUUAGCAUAUUUUGACGUCAUGAUUCUGAUUUUGGAUAGAUUCGACGUGAGUUGAGGCUGAGGCGAGAGGCAAAGGCAUCGUAGGCUAUAGUUUGGACCGGAUAAAGGUAAGUAAUGUUUGUAAAUGCUGUCCUGAGGGUAUGAAACCCCAGAUUUCACAUCGUUGUGCUACUAUGGGGUGACUCACAUGCUAGAUGACGAGCUUGGGGUCGUGCACAAUUGGGGAUUCUGAAUUAGUCCAUCUGAAUGACUUUUUAGUCGCGUAUUUGAUUGAAAACUGUCUGCUAUCAUCAUGUUUUGGGCUGAAUGCCAUAUUUGGGCCUCGUGCCAACUGUUUUGGACCCUUAGGGUAUUUUUACAACUAUUCCUCAUUGUUUAGACUUUAUAUUUGUACUCAGUCAUGCUGUGUUUUACUCUUUUCAUGACUCAGCCAUAUUUACUCGUUUUUUGAUAUUUUAAAUGAAAUUUUGGGCUGAGCAUCAUGUUUCACUAUGUUCGAAUGGCUUUGAGAGAAUUCUGACUGAGUAAGGUCGAAGGCUUGUGUUGUGAGGAUACUAUGGGAUCAGGUUGUACGCCAUAGUAGUGUUAUACUGAUUCAUGAUUAUGAGGCCAAGGGUCUGAUUUGCUACGCAACAAGGUGGCUUGUUAUAAGGCCGAGUGCGUAUUUGAUUAUGCCACGAGAUGGCUUGAUAUUGUGCUUGGGCUGUAAGGAGCCCCUCCCGGAGUCUGUACACCCCCAGUGAGCAUGGUUACCCAGUGUGAGAUGUGAUAUAGCCCGAGGGGCUAAUACGAGUGAUUGUGAGAUAGCCCGAGGGGCUGAUUUGUGUUUUUAUCCUUUUCUCCUGUUUUAUUCACUCGUUUGAAAUGUUAAAAGACGUUUUAAAGAGGUUUUAACUAAACUAAGGUGUUUUUAUGAGUUUUGACUGCUUUAUUGCAUUGUUCUGCUUUUAUACUGUUUUGUUGUAGCAUUAUGCUGUGUUUUCAUGUGUUUACUUAUCGCUGACAUGCCUUUACUUUUAUUACUUACUGAGUUGGCAUACUCACAUUACUCAUUGCACCCCGUGUUCAGAUUCAGGAGUCUUGGGUCACGCUAGCGAUUGUUGAUUUGUUCUCCAGCAAGCUAUUUGAAGUUGACUAGGUAACUGCCAGGUAUUCGCAACCCAGUACUUCUCCUUCCUAUCUUUUUUUUCCUGUUGAUCUGGCUUGUAAUAGACUAUGUAGUCUUUUCAUACACUUAGAUAAAUUUUAGAUGCUCAUGACUGGUGACUCCCGGAUGUCGGGCUGUGUUUGUUUCCGUAUUGUUCUAAUCUAUUUUUUAUUUUGGGAUUUAUAGCUUAUUAAUAACUUAAAAUGAAUUAUUAUAACUGUUAAAUUGAUAUUGGGGAAUUGUGUCGGCUGGACUUGUUUCACGAUAGGCGCCAUCACGACUGAGUCCGGUUUAAGAUCGUGACAUCGACAAACCAACAAAAUGUACACAGAAGACCUAUAAGCCCAUCAUACUACAUUAACUGAUAGGAUAUGACUACAAGCCUCUACUGAUAGAUAUACUAUGAUCGGAAUAGGGC
RNAcentral lists this long non-coding RNA (4037 nucleotides) under Nicotiana tabacum (common tobacco). RNAcentral describes it as "long non-coding RNA (NTAB_LNC004207)". Lineage: Eukaryota; Viridiplantae; Streptophyta; Magnoliopsida; Solanales; Solanaceae. The record is from RNAcentral.